GGAAGCGAAUGGGUUGGGACCUCAGGGUUUUCCGGAGCUGAAGAAUGACACAUUCCUGCGAGCAGCCUGGGGAGAGGAAACAGACUACACUCCCGUUUGGUGCAUGCGCCAGGCAGGCCGUUACUUACCAGAGUUUAGGGAAACCCGGGCUGCCCAGGACUUUUUCAGCACGUGUCGCUCUCCUGAGGCCUGCUGUGAACUGACUCUGCAGGUGAGGGGUCCACAAAAGAGGGAAAGAUUUAUGCCUUCAGUCUGCCACCUAGCAACCUGUCUCCUGUUUCCUACAGCCACUGCGUCGAUUCCCUCUGGAUGCUGCCAUCAUUUUCUCCGACAUCCUUGUUGUACCCCAGAUGUUUUCUCCCCCUCCAGGCACUGGGCAUGGAGGUGACCAUGGUACCUGGCAAAGGACCCAGCUUCCCAGAGCCAUUAAGAGAAGAGCAGGACCUAGAACGCCUACGGGAUCCAGAAGUGGUAGCCUCUGAGCUAGGCUAUGUGUUCCAAGCCAUCACCCUUACCCGACAACGACUGGCUGGACGUGUGCCGCUGAUUGGCUUUGCUGGUGCCCCAGUAAUGUGGGACAGGGCAGGGACUCGGGGCGCGGGGAGAUCACUCUGGAAGGUCUGGGGUAGACAAAAGGAAGGGUCAGUCUGGCUUCUGUGACACCAUCUUUCUAUCCUUCUCUAGUGGACCCUGAUGACAUACAUGGUUGAGGGUGGUGGCUCAAGCACCAUGGCUCAGGCCAAGCGCUGGCUCUAUCAGAGACCUCAGGCUAGUCACCAGCUGCUUCGCAUCCUCACCGAUGCUCUGGUCCCAUAUCUGGUAGGACAAGUGGCGGCUGGUGCCCAGGUGAGUCCUGAGAGAGAGAGAAAUAGGCUGGGAUUUGGUCUGUAAGGACC
This 896-nucleotide small RNA is filed under the name Pan troglodytes (chimpanzee). RNAcentral's name for it is "processed transcript". The record is from RNAcentral. Lineage: Eukaryota; Metazoa; Chordata; Mammalia; Primates; Hominidae.